This 403-nucleotide ribosomal RNA is filed under the name Verrucomicrobiota bacterium. Its description in RNAcentral is "Verrucomicrobia bacterium partial 16S ribosomal RNA". It matches the Rfam family "Bacterial small subunit ribosomal RNA", at positions 355 to 776 of the family's 1533-position model. The record is from RNAcentral. Lineage: Bacteria; Pseudomonadati; Verrucomicrobiota.
UGGGGAAUAUUGCACAAUGGGCGCAAGCCUGAUGCAGCAACGCCGCGUGAACGAUGAAGGUCUUCGGAUCGUAAAGUUCUGUUGCAGGGGAAGAUAAUGACGGUACCCUGUGAGGAAGCCCCGGCUAACUACGUGCCAGCAGCCGCGGUAAUACGUAGGGGGCUAGCGUUAUCCGGAUUUACUGGGCGUAAAGGGUGCGUAGGUGGUCUUUCAAGUCGGUGGUUAAAGGCUACGGCUCAACCGUAGUUAGCCUCCGAAACUGGAAGACUUGAGUGCAGUAGAGGAAAGUGGAAUUCCCAGUGUAACGGUGAAAUGCGUAGAUAUUGGGAGGAACACCAGUAGCGAAGGCGGCUUUCUGGACUGCAACUGACACUGAGGCACGAAAGCGUGGGUAGCAAACAGG